Molecule: ribosomal RNA, 266 nt
Filed under: uncultured bacterium
Lineage: Bacteria
Description: partial 16S ribosomal RNA
Rfam family: Bacterial small subunit ribosomal RNA
Source: RNAcentral
AGCGAACGCUGGCGGCAGGCCUAACACAUGCAAGUCGAACGAACCUUCGGGUUAGUGGCGGACGGGUGAGUAACACGUGGGAACGUACCUUUUGGUUCGGAAUAACGCAGAGAAAUUUGCGCUAAUACCGAAUGUGCCCUUCGGGGGAAAGAUUUAUCGCCAUUAGAGCGGCCCGCGUUAGAUUAGCUAGUUGGUGAGGUAAAGGCUCACCAAGGCUACGAUCUAUAGCUGGUCUGAGAGGAUGAUCAGCCACAUUGGGACUGAGA